UGGAGUGUGACAAUGGUGUUUGUGUGGAGUUAAAUCAAACGCCAUUAUCACACUAAAUA
RNAcentral lists this microRNA precursor (59 nucleotides) under Scyliorhinus torazame (cloudy catshark). RNAcentral describes it as "Sto-Mir-122_pre stem-loop". The record is from RNAcentral. Lineage: Eukaryota; Metazoa; Chordata; Chondrichthyes; Carcharhiniformes; Scyliorhinidae.